This 254-nucleotide ribosomal RNA is filed under the name uncultured bacterium. RNAcentral's name for it is "partial 16S ribosomal RNA". It matches the Rfam family "Bacterial small subunit ribosomal RNA", at positions 524 to 776 of the family's 1533-position model. The record is from RNAcentral.
UACGUAGGGAGCGAGCGUUGUCCGAAGUUACUGGGCGUAAAGCGCGUGUAGGCGGGUUAGUAAGUCGGAGGUGAAAGGCUGGGGCUUAACCCCAUGCAGUGUCUCCGAUACUGCUAGUCUUGAGGGCGGUAGGGAGAAGUGGAAUGGCUGGUGUAGCGGUGAAAUGCGUAGAUAUCAGUCGGAACACCGGUGGCGAAGGCGGCUUCUUGGGCCGUUCCUGACGCUGAGGCGCGAAAGCCAGGGGAGCGAACGGG